Hibiscus syriacus is the source of this 260-nucleotide long non-coding RNA. RefSeq lists it as uncharacterized. NCBI's taxonomy places the organism in Eukaryota, Viridiplantae, Streptophyta, Magnoliopsida, Malvales, Malvaceae. The transcript has 3 exons. The record is from RefSeq and is a predicted model, not a curated record.
GGCUUAUAUCCGAGAGAAGAAUUUGCAAGAUCCGAAGGACAAGAGAAAUGUAACAUGUGAUGAAUCAUUGCAUGCUCUUUUUGGCGUAAAUUCUAUCAACAUGUUUCAAAUGAACAAGGCUCUUUCCAAACACAUAUGGCCGUUAAAUGAGGAAGAUGCUCAAUCUGACUUUGCAAAAAUGGAAACAAAAUCUAAACAAGCAAUGGAGAAGGCUCAAGCUGACUCCGCCAAAACGGAAAGAAAAUCUAAAAUAGCAAGGA